UACGGGGGGGGCAAGCGUUGUUCGGAAUUACUGGGCGUAAAGGGCUCGUAGGCGGCCAACUAAGUCGGAUGUGAAAUCCCCAGGCUUAACCUGGGAACUGCAUCCGAUACUGGUUGGCUUGAAUCCGGGAGAGGGAUGCAGAAUUCCAGGUGUAGCGGUGAAAUGCGUAGAUAUCUGGAGGAACACCGGUGGCGAAGGCGGGUCUCUGGGCCGAUACUGACGCUGAGGAGCGAAAGCGUGGGGAGCGAACAGG
RNAcentral lists this ribosomal RNA (253 nucleotides) under uncultured bacterium. RNAcentral's name for it is "partial 16S ribosomal RNA". It matches the Rfam family "Bacterial small subunit ribosomal RNA", at positions 524 to 776 of the family's 1533-position model. The record is from RNAcentral.